AUAUUGAUGGAGGGGAAACAUAAUAUGGAUGAAACAGACCGAAUUUCGGAAUUGCCAGAGACAAUGUUGCAGCACAUAAUGUCUUUCCUUGAUGUUAAAGAUGUACGAAUGGGUACAUUAUCCAAGUCCAAGAUUUGGAACAGUCCAUGGAACUCACUCUCCUACUUAAAUUUUGGUGAUAAAUUUUUCCCCAACUCAAGGUCAGAAGACUCGCCAAACCUCGUGAAUGUUGUAGAUCAAACUCUAGCAAGUCGUCAAAAGCACAAGAUUUCUGUGCAAAAAUUUUGGAUAUUGUUGCCGUAUUGGCCAAAGCACAAGAUUUCUUAUGUCGACGAUUGGAUUAGAACACUUGUAGCUUGUAAUAUCAAAGAGUUGAAUCUAAGAGUAAGCAGACCUAUUUAUGAAGGAAAACACGAUUACAACGAGUUGCCUGAGGGAAUCUUUAAUGCCAAAGCACUAAACGUGCUGAAUUUGAAUGGGUUGCUAAACGUGCUGAAUUUGAAUGGAUUUAAGAUUAAAUUUCCCUCUAAUGGUGUAAUAAUGUUUUCAUCUUUACGAGAGUUUCACCUAUGUGAUGCAUUUUUGGACGAUGAAUUUAUUCAAGCUCUAUGCACAAGCUGCUGCAAUUUAGAGGUUUUGUCUUUGCAGUGCUUUGAUGGACUUGCCAGUUUUCAAGUUGGUGAAACAUCUUUAUCUAAACUGAAAAAGGAAAACCUGGAAUUUUGCCCUUCUAAACUCCAAUUGGUUGAUAUUGCAGCAACUAAUCUUGAAGACCUCAAGAUCUCCAGUCAUGGGAAUCUAAAGGUAGUUAAAAUAACUGUUUUAAAGCCCUUAAGAGUUUGUUUCUCGAUGGCGUGGCCGUGAUGGAAAACUGGUUAGAGGAACUAUUUUACAGCCUACAAAAUCUUGAAAAGUUCUAGUUAUUUUGGUGAAAGACCUUAAAGACUAUGAAGAUCACGAGUGAUAGGCUCAAAUCAUAUGAUUGUCAUAAUCUGAUUGCUGUUGAAUUAGACACUCCUAAUUUAAUAAGGUUCUCAUAUGACUGCCAUUCAUUGCUAACAUUCAAACUGAAAGCUUCAGUUUCAUUAGUAGCCAAUAUCUCCUUUGCUUCAGCAGAAACCCCUGACAACAAUGGAUACCGUAACGUCGCGAAUUUUCUUAGUAACUUCAAUCCAUCCAUGGCUAUUGAAUUAUCAAGUGCAAAUGACAAGCUAAUGCAGGUUACAGUUAUGCCAAAAGACAUGAGAGAAAACAUGCUUCCUCCACUUUAUGGUGAUAAGUGUGUGCACGUAAACAAUAACAAUCGAUUGAAUCAUUCAGUUGUGGAUGUGGUUGAUAGUUUGCUUUGGUUACAAGGUAUUUCAUCCAAGGAAAAGAACUGAUCUACCUUAUACAACCAGGAUCUCAGUUCCACACCAGUGAAUCGAGGGAACUCAAUCUUGGAUAGCCUUCUCAUGAAGCUGGUGAAGGCCCGCAUUGGUGGUUUCUACCCACCUCCUCCUCCUUCUUGAUUUCCCAGAGGUGGUUGCUGCAUUUCUGCUGCUGCUGCUUGGUUCGGGCCUCCUAUGUAUGUUUGGAACUAAGUGUUUGGCCCCAUUCCAUGUGCCUGCAUACAUUGCUGUCCCCUUGAAGAGGAAUCCGAGGCAAAUAUUCUCCUAUAGGUGACUGCGAAUGGGGUGUAACCUCUAUUCUCAUCUGAUAUAUUCCAGGAGACACCGUGGUUGUUCCAGCAUCUGAGGGUAGUAACCAAGCCAUCGAAUUUCCUGAGGGAGUAUAGACAUCUCCACCUCCAUCAUGUCCUUAGCAGCUUUCCCUUUGUCACUUCUCUUCGCAGUUUCAAGAGAAGCCCUCAUUUCUGCAAGGGACUUCCUACGUUGUCCUCUAUUUAGUUUUGCCUCACUACAAAAUUAGUCAUCUCAAUUGUCAUCUGAUCUAGCAUUUCUUUGAUUUCUCUCAUAUCAUUCGUCGUUUUAGAA
Lycium barbarum (goji berry) is the source of this 1976-nucleotide RNA transcript. RefSeq lists it as uncharacterized. The record is from RefSeq and is a predicted model, not a curated record. The transcript is spliced from 2 exons. Lineage: Eukaryota; Viridiplantae; Streptophyta; Magnoliopsida; Solanales; Solanaceae.